AACUGGAUAGCCUAGUGGUCAAAGGCAGCACUUCUAGCAAUGAUGAGGUCUCAGGUUUGAAUCUUGGUCUAGUCA
This 75-nucleotide transfer RNA is filed under the name Endocronartium harknessii PhW48OC. RNAcentral's name for it is "tRNA-Ala (AGC) (tRNA-Ala-AGC-43-1)". It matches the Rfam family "tRNA". From Rfam's summary of the family: Transfer RNA (tRNA) molecules are approximately 80 nucleotides in length. Their secondary structure includes four short double-helical elements and three loops (D, anti-codon, and T loops). Further hydrogen bonds mediate the characteristic L-shaped molecular structure. tRNAs have two regions of fundamental functional importance: the anti-codon, which is responsible for specific mRNA codon recognition, and the 3' end, to which the tRNAs corresponding amino acid is attached (by aminoacyl-tRNA synthetases). tRNAs cope with the degeneracy of the genetic code in two manners: having more than one tRNA (with a specific anti-codon) for a particular amino acid; and 'wobble' base-pairing, i.e. permitting non-standard base-pairing at the 3rd anti-codon position. Lineage: Eukaryota; Fungi; Basidiomycota; Pucciniomycetes; Pucciniales; Coleosporiaceae. The record is from RNAcentral.